Long non-coding RNA from Labrus bergylta (ballan wrasse), 1210 nucleotides. RefSeq lists it as uncharacterized. The record is from RefSeq and is a predicted model, not a curated record. Lineage: Eukaryota; Metazoa; Chordata; Actinopteri; Labriformes; Labridae.
GAUGUAACAAACUAAAGAAGGGAGAGAGAGAGAGAGAGAGAGAGAGAGAGAAAGAGAGUUAUGAGGAAUUACUGAUACGUGAACGAGGAGAGGGAGGAAAAAAAGUUUUAGAAUCCGAGAGAAGACAGAAAAGUCACAUUUAGCUUGAAAUCAACAAUGAUGAAUGCAGCUCGUAUUCACGACAAGCAGAAGCUCAGGUCGUUCUGGGAGCAGAGGAUUGUUCAGCACAGCGAGCACAUGGACGUGGAGGAGAACCGCGUGAGGAGCAGCUCUCUGUCACGGCUAAGGGAGCAGUGGGUGGUCAGGUUGGAUCAAAGGAAUCAGUACCAGCAAAGUUUCUUCGAGGAGAGAAUCAGACGAGCUCAGAAAACUCAGCAGAGCCUCAGGAGGCUCGAUUCGGCCUGAAACCUGCUGACCAAUAGGAGCUCUGCAAAGACAUGAAUGCAUAAUUACUUUGUAAUUAUUCAAUUAUUUUUGGAAUAUGUAUAACUUUAUUUGUUAUGAAUAAAACAAAUAGAAUGCAAAACAUUUUACCAAGCUGUCAUAUAUGGAGUGAAUAAAAAAAGGCAGCCAUUGUUCUUUUUGGAAAAAACACAAAAUGUAAAAUGAAAUGUCUUCUUUAGAAAUGUUUUACCCUCUAGGUUGGACUUCAUUUCUGCCUUUACUGUUUGUCACAUCCAACAUGUGCUCUAUCAUUACAACUUUUUAUGACUCUGUGCGUCCUUUUGUUACUCAAGGACUCCAUAUCUUAGAGUAGAGAGAGUCAUCUCUUCACCAUCUUACAGUACGGCUCCAGUGCUUCAGGCGAGGGCGCUAGUCAUUGCGCCAGAGCACUCAACUCGCCGCUUGAUAGGCGUAUACCUACUUUAUGGCGGUUGAUAUAUUAUUUUAUUUUGUUUUCCCUCCUUUUUGCUGUAGGUUACACAAUUGGUGAAGUAGCCUCAAUGAAUGCACCUGAUUGGAUAGAUGAGCAGCUAGUCCGGGAGGUCGCUGGACUCAUUUGCAUAGAAAAGACUUCAGGUCUAUUCUUCUCUGGCAAGCGCACCAGAGCCCUUCUCAAGACGCGCCGCAAAGAUCCCAUAAUGCAUUGCGCGAUUGCCUCUCCGGCUCUCCAUAGGAAAUGAAUAGAAAGCGUCAAGACGCUAUCCAUCGUCAGAACCAGUGGAGCCGUAUAGGAAAGGAAAUGGAGCAUCCUACUGAAUAUUGUCCA